AGAGUUUGAUCCUGGCUCAGGAUUAACGCUAGCGGCAGGCCUAAUACAUGCAAGUCGAACGGGAUUUCGGGUAGCAAUAUCUGAAUGAGAGUGGCGCACGGGUGAGUAACGCGUAUGCAAUCUACCUUUAACUGGGGAAUAGCCCUCCGAAAGGAGGAUUAACACCGCAUAAUACUACGAUGGGGCAUCUCAAUGUAGUCAAAACUCAGGUGGUUAAAGAUGAGCAUGCGUCCGAUUAGCUAGUUGGUGAGGUAAUGGCUCACCAAGGCGACGAUCGGUAGGGGGUCUGAGAGGAUGAUCCCCCACACUGGUACUGAGACACGGACCAGACUCCUACGGGAGGCAGCAGUAAGGAAUAUUGGACAAUGGGCGCAAGCCUGAUCCAGCUAUGCCGCGUGAAGGAUGACGGCCCUAUGGGUUGUAAACUUCUUUUAGCAGGGAAAAAACCCCCCGAUGCGUUGGGGGCUGAUGGUACCUGCAGAAUAAGGAUCGGCUAACUCCGUGCCAGCAGCCGCGGUAAUACGGAGGAUCCAAGCGUUAUCCGGAUUUAUUGGGUUUAAAGGGUCCGUAGGCGGAUAAAUAAGUCAGUGGUGAAAGCCUGCAGCUUAACUGUAGAAUUGCCAUUGAUACUGUUUAUCUUGAAUGUAGUU
This 650-nucleotide ribosomal RNA is filed under the name uncultured bacterium. Its description in RNAcentral is "bacterial SSU rRNA". It matches the Rfam family "Bacterial small subunit ribosomal RNA", at positions 8 to 653 of the family's 1533-position model. The record is from RNAcentral.